This 76-nucleotide transfer RNA is filed under the name Klebsiella phage vB_KpnS_Uniso31. RNAcentral's name for it is "tRNA-Asn". The record is from RNAcentral. Lineage: Duplodnaviria; Heunggongvirae; Uroviricota; Caudoviricetes; Demerecviridae.
CGACCGCUCCGUAAAAGCUAACACCCAGCAGUCCCGUGGCGGUUCUGCAACCGUUUACACUGCGUUCUUCGAUCCG